GCGCACCAGGCGCGAAUCCUCCGCAAUACACAAAGUGUGACGGGGCCAUCCCGAGUGCCGUCCGCUGAGGACGGCUUUUCCCCAGUGUACAUAGCUGGGGGAAUAAGAGAGGGCGAAGCCUGGUGUCAGCCGCCGCGGUAAGUACCAGCUCUCCGAGUGGUGGGACGCUUAUUGGGCCUAAAGCAUCCGUAGCCGGCUAGGCAAGUCCUCCGUUAAAUCCAACGAUUCAAUCGUUGGGCUG
RNAcentral lists this ribosomal RNA (241 nucleotides) under uncultured microorganism. RNAcentral's name for it is "partial 16S ribosomal RNA". It matches the Rfam family "Archaeal small subunit ribosomal RNA", at positions 330 to 573 of the family's 1478-position model. The record is from RNAcentral.